Molecule: ribosomal RNA, 64 nt
Filed under: Amanita murrilliana
Lineage: Eukaryota; Fungi; Basidiomycota; Agaricomycetes; Agaricales; Amanitaceae
Description: partial 28S ribosomal RNA
Rfam family: Eukaryotic large subunit ribosomal RNA
Source: RNAcentral
UUGACCUCAAAUCAGGUAGGACUACCCGCUGAACUUAAGCAUAUCAAUAAGCGGAGAAAAGAAA